This 459-nucleotide ribosomal RNA is filed under the name uncultured bacterium. Its description in RNAcentral is "partial 16S ribosomal RNA". It matches the Rfam family "Bacterial small subunit ribosomal RNA", at positions 339 to 795 of the family's 1533-position model. The record is from RNAcentral.
CUACGGGCCGCUCCAGUAAGGAAUAUUGCGCAAUGGAUGCCCCUCUUCCUCCUCCCUGCCGCGUGCAGGAAGAAGGCCUUAUGGGUCGUAAACUGCUUUUAUUUAGGAAUAAACCCUCGCUCGUGAGCGAGGCUGAAGGUACUGAAUGAAUAAGCACCGGCUAACUCCGUGCCAGCAGCCGCGGUAAUACGGAGGGUGCAAGCGUUAUCCGGAUUUAUUGGGUUUAAAGGGUGCGCAGGCGGGCUAUUAAGUCAGUGGUGAAAUCCCGGGGCUCAACUCCGGAACUGCCAUUGAUACUGAUAGUCUUGAGUUUGGUUGAAGUGGGCGGAAUGUAGCAUGUAGCGGUGAAAUGCAUAGAUAUGCUACAGAACACCAAUCGCGAAGGCAGCUCACUAAGCCAAAACUGACGCUCAUGCACGAAAGCGUGGGGAUCAAACAGGAUUAGAUACCCUCGUAGUC